UACGGAGGAUCCGAGCGUUAUCCGGAUUUAUUGGGUUUAAAGGGUGCGUAGGCGGAUGGUUAAGUCAGUGGUGAAAUUUUUGCGCUUAACGUAAACAUUGCCGUUGAAACUGGUCAUCUAGAGUGCAAAUGAGGUAGGCGGAAUGUGUUGUGUAGCGGUGAAAUGCAUAGAUAUAACACAGAACCCCGAUUGCGAAGGCAGCUUACUGGGAUGCAACUGACGCUGAAGCACGAAAGCGUGGGGAU
This 245-nucleotide ribosomal RNA is filed under the name uncultured Porphyromonadaceae bacterium. Its description in RNAcentral is "partial 16S ribosomal RNA". It matches the Rfam family "Bacterial small subunit ribosomal RNA", at positions 524 to 768 of the family's 1533-position model. Lineage: Bacteria; Pseudomonadati; Bacteroidota; Bacteroidia; Bacteroidales; Porphyromonadaceae. The record is from RNAcentral.